RNAcentral lists this ribosomal RNA (900 nucleotides) under uncultured Bacteroidota bacterium. RNAcentral's name for it is "bacterial SSU rRNA". It matches the Rfam family "Bacterial small subunit ribosomal RNA", at positions 71 to 975 of the family's 1533-position model. The record is from RNAcentral. Lineage: Bacteria; Pseudomonadati; Bacteroidota.
AGAUAGUAGCAAUACUAUCGAGUAGUGGCGCACGGGUGCGUAACGCGUAUGCAACCUACCCUUCAGCGGGGGAUAGCCUGGAGAAAUCCAGAUUAAUACCCCAUAUAAUCGGGUCCUGGCAUCGGGAUACGAUGAAAGAUUUAUCACUGGAGGAUGGGCAUGCGUGACAUUAGCUAGAUGGUGAGGUAACGGCUCACCAUGGCGACGAUGUCUAGCUGGUCUGAGAGGAUGAUCAGCCACACUGGCACUGAGACACGGGCCAGACUCCUACGGGAGGCAGCAGUAGGGAAUAUUGGUCAAUGGGCGCAAGCCUGAACCAGCCAUGCCGCGUGAGGGAAGAAGGUCCUCUGGAUUGUAAACCUCUUUUGUCAGGGAAUAAAUCUGUGGUUGCCACAGUUGAAGGUACCUGAAGAAUAAGCACCGGCUAACUCCGUGCCAGCAGCCGCGGUAAUACGGAGGGUGCAAGCGUUGUCCGGAUUUAUUGGGUUUAAAGGGUGCGUAGGCGGCAAUAUAAGUCAGUGGUGAAAGCCGGCAGCUUAACUGUCGAAUUGCCAUUGAUACUGUAAUGCUUGAGUGCAGUUGAGGUGGUUGGAAUGAGUAGUGUAGCGGUGAAAUGCAUAGAUAUUACUCAGAACACCGAUUGCGAAGGCAGAUCACUAAGCUGUAACUGACGCUGAGGCACGAAAGUGUGGGGAGCAAACAGGAUUAGAUACCCUGGUAGUCCACACUGUAAACGUUGGAUACUCGAUGCACGCGAUAUACGGUGUGUGUCCAAGCGAAAGCGAUAAGUAUCCCACCUGGGGAGUACGCCCGCAAGGGUGAAACUCAAAGGAAUUGACGGGGGCCCGCACAAGCGGUGGAGCAUGUGGUUUAAUUCGAUGAUACGCGAGGAACCUUACC